AGGACUAACGCUGGCGGCGUGCCUAACACAUGCAAGUCGAACGGGGGUAGCAAUACCCCAGUGGCAGACGGGUGAGUAACACGUGGUCAACCUACCUCUGUGUGGGGGAUAACUAGCCGAAAGGUUAGCUAAUACCGCAUACGAUCGUUUUGAGGCAUCUCGAGACGAUGAAAGGAGCAAUCCGCACGGAGAGGGGACUGCGUCCCAUUAGUUAGUUGGUGGGGUAACGGCCUACCAAGACUCCGAUUGGUAGCUGGCUUGAGAGAGCGACCAGCCACACUGGAACUGAGACACGGUCCAGACUCCUACGGGAGGCAGCAGUGAGGAAUUUUCCGCAAUGGGCGAAAGCCUGACGGAGCGACGCCGCGUGUGGGAUGAAGGCCUUCGGGUCGUAAACCACUGUCGAAGGGGACGAUAUUGACGGUACCCUUGGAGGAAGCCCCGGCUAACUACGCGCCAGCAGCCGC
RNAcentral lists this ribosomal RNA (467 nucleotides) under uncultured bacterium. RNAcentral's name for it is "SSU rRNA". It matches the Rfam family "Bacterial small subunit ribosomal RNA", at positions 26 to 518 of the family's 1533-position model. The record is from RNAcentral.